CUGGCACUACUUCCUUCGAAGCGACUGCAUCCUAAACUGUCAUAUUAAACAUGUGUGCCGUCAAUCUUCUCGGCUGAGCAGAUCAUUUGAUCGCCAGUGUCCCGCUGAUGUUUCCUCUAUUGUUGCUUCCUUUCUCUGCAUUCUUCUUUGCAGAGUUACGAAUUUGAUGAUCUGACCAUCCACACGAAAAAAAACAUUGUAUCUUCCUACUCUCUCCUGACUUGUUUCUCGAUUGGGUAUUGUCAUUCCAUUUACGCUUAUUGGGGUUACUUCCUCCACUGCUACCUCCUUCAUUUUUCUUCUUUUUCUCUUGAUGAUACCUUGAUACGGCUUCACUUCCUCCUUUAGCGAUGAUUACUUUUUCUAACAGGGUCAAAAAUGUAUUAAUUUGCAACACAGCUACUGUGUUAUAUAUUCCUGGCUUCAAUCCAUUCUCAAACCUUCGCGCCUUUCGUAACUCAGUAUCCACUUGAUGUGGAGCGAAUUGUUGGGUAAAAUCUAAUUACGCACAACACGCAAGUAUACAUGGUCAACAAGUAAUAAAGUGAUAAGUUGAGUAUCGUUCCCACAGAGAAUUAUUUAACAAAAAU
RNAcentral lists this long non-coding RNA (590 nucleotides) under Panax ginseng (ginseng). RNAcentral describes it as "long non-coding RNA (PGIN_LNC014525)". Lineage: Eukaryota; Viridiplantae; Streptophyta; Magnoliopsida; Apiales; Araliaceae. The record is from RNAcentral.